Molecule: ribosomal RNA, 347 nt
Filed under: uncultured Microbacterium sp.
Lineage: Bacteria; Bacillati; Actinomycetota; Actinomycetes; Micrococcales; Microbacteriaceae
Description: bacterial SSU rRNA
Rfam family: Bacterial small subunit ribosomal RNA
Source: RNAcentral
AAACGGACGUCUAAUACUGGAUACGAGACGUGAUCGCAUGGUCAACGUUUGGUAAAGGAUUUUUGGUUUUGGGGGAUGGGCUCGCGGCCUAUCAGCUUGUUGGUGAGGUAAUGGCUUCACCAAGGCGUCGACGGGUAGCCGGCCUGAGAGGGUGACCGGCCACACUGGGACUGAGACACGGCCCAGACUCCUACGGGAGGCAGCAGUGGGGAAUAUUGCACAAUGGGCGGAAGCCUGAUGCAGCAACGCCGCGUGAGGGAUGACGGCCUUCGGGUUGUAAACCUCUUUUAGCAGGGAAGAAGCGAGAGUGACGGUACCUGCAGAAAAAGCGCCGGCUAACUACGUGC